RNAcentral lists this ribosomal RNA (305 nucleotides) under uncultured bacterium. Its description in RNAcentral is "bacterial SSU rRNA". It matches the Rfam family "Bacterial small subunit ribosomal RNA", at positions 333 to 629 of the family's 1533-position model. The record is from RNAcentral.
CUCAUCCUACGGGGCGCAGCAGUUAGGAAUAUUCGUCAAUGGGGGAAACCCUGAACGAGCAAUGCCGCGUGAACGAUGACGGUCCUCUGGAUUGUAAAGUUCUGUUGUUUGGGAAGAACGGCUCUAAUAGGAAAUGAUUAGAGAUUGACUGUACCAUUCAAGAAAGCCACGGCUAACUACGUGCCAGCAGCCGCGGUAAUACGUAGGUGGCAAGCGUUAUCCGGAUUUAUUGGGCGUAAAGCGAGCGCAGGCGGUUGCUUAGGUCUGAUGUGAAAGCCUUCGGCUUAACCGAAGAAGUGCAUCGG